Molecule: small RNA, 456 nt
Filed under: Pongo abelii (Sumatran orangutan)
Lineage: Eukaryota; Metazoa; Chordata; Mammalia; Primates; Hominidae
Description: processed transcript
Source: RNAcentral
UAAUCAAACCAGGCACCAAAAUGCUAACACUCCUUCCUGGAGAAAGAAAGGCUAAUAUUUGUUUUACUCAAAGAAGAGCUCCAUCUACAGGCAUUCACCAGAGAAGCAUUGCUUCUUUCUUCACCUUGCAGCCAGAUGUGUGAGCUUUUUAAUCUCUGGCUGAUCUUAACCCACUUCAGCCUAAGCUUGGGAUGAUUACUCUUGACUCUUUUUUUUAGUGAUUAGCAAAUCUCCCCACAACCCAGGUGUGAAGAGAAGAGAAGUAGAAUGGCACUAGUUUCUUAUUUUUGUGGUAACUGUACAGCACUUUAAAGUUAUAUACUCUAUGUUUAAAUAUCUCCCUUAAAAAGCCUGAGCUAUAUAACAAUCUGGAUGUGACUGUGUUACCCUUUUCCCACAAGAUAGGAGGGAAUCCCCUUUGUAAAACUAUGAACCCAAAUAAAUGUUUACAGAGUG